CCCUUGAUACUCUGGGCGGCACGCGCGCUACACUGGUUUAUAUAACGUGUAAUUUGGACGAUAGUCUGUAUAAAUCACUAAUAUAAAACCGUGAAUGGGAUAGUUUAUUGCAACUUACAAACUUUAACUAGGAAUCCCUUGUAGAAGUAGUGAAUUAUACUGCUUCGAAUACGUCCCUGCCGAUUGUACACACCGCCCGUCGUUUCUUCCGACUGGUACUCAUUGUGAAUUGCGAGGAGAUUCUGUCAAAUCGUUGUAAAUGCUGGGUAUUGGAGGAAGAAAAAGUCGUAACA
This 293-nucleotide ribosomal RNA is filed under the name uncultured eukaryote. Its description in RNAcentral is "partial 18S ribosomal RNA". It matches the Rfam family "Eukaryotic small subunit ribosomal RNA", at positions 1471 to 1796 of the family's 1831-position model. The record is from RNAcentral.